RNAcentral lists this ribosomal RNA (546 nucleotides) under uncultured archaeon. Its description in RNAcentral is "bacterial SSU rRNA". It matches the Rfam family "Archaeal small subunit ribosomal RNA", at positions 284 to 831 of the family's 1478-position model. The record is from RNAcentral.
GGGAGCCCGGAGAUGGAUCCUGAGACAAGGAUCCAGGCCNNACGGGGCGCAGCAGGCGCGAAAACUCCGCAAUGCGCGAAAGCGUGACGGGGUCACCCCGAGUGCCGUCUGCUGAAGACGGCUUUUCCUUGGUAUAAAUAGCCAAGGGAAUAAGGGGAGGGCAAGCCUGGUGUCAGCCGCCGCGGUAAUACCAGCUUCCCGAGUGGUAAGGACGAUUAUUGGGCCUAAAGCGUCCGUAGCCGGUUUGGUAAGUUCCUCGUUAAAUCCAACGAUCCAAUCGUUGGGUCGCCUGGAAUACUGCUAAGCUAGGAGGUGGAAGAGGCCGGCGGUACUUUUAGGGUAGGGGUGAAAUCCUAUAAUCCUAGAAGGACUACCAGUGGCGAAGGCGGCCGGCCAGGACACGCUCGACGGUGAGGGACGAAAGCUGGGGGAGCGAACCGGAUUAGAUACCCGGGUAGUCCCAGCUGUAAACGAUGCGGGCUAAGUGUCGGAAUGGCUUUAAAGCCAUUCCAGUGCUGCAGGGAAGCCGUUAAGCCCGCCGCCUGG